GGGUCCUUUUUAUAUCUUUAUUUACUAUCUUACUUUUGUGUCAUUAUCAACAAUUUUUAUCAGAAGAUACAUAGAAGAGUAUAAUAACUGGCACCAGCAAAGCUUGUACAGAACAGAGCGUUACAAACAAAGCAAGGAAACUCUCUAUGGAGAGAGUCAAAGAAGAUGGCCCUACUGGCUCGAGUCAUGAGGCUGUAAGAGGGCCAAAACGCGCUUCUAAUUGGCCUAAGAAGGCUAAGCUAUGAGCUAUGUGGUCCAUUUGUCUUUUUGGUAAUAAAUCCUAUAAGCAGACCACUAAUAUGGUUGGUUCAGAAGACAACUAACCUGGAAGUCCGGAUGUUAGACCACAGAACCAGAAGAC
Molecule: long non-coding RNA, 361 nt
Organism: Humulus lupulus (European hop)
Lineage: Eukaryota; Viridiplantae; Streptophyta; Magnoliopsida; Rosales; Cannabaceae
Exons: 3
Source: RefSeq, a predicted model, not a curated record